GCCCCCGUAGCCUAGCCCGGAACAGGUUCCAGCCAGCUGAGCUGAGGCACGAGGGUUCGAAUCCCCCCGGGGGCG
This 75-nucleotide transfer RNA is filed under the name Methanobacteriota archaeon. Its description in RNAcentral is "Euryarchaeota archaeon tRNA-Ser". It matches the Rfam family "tRNA". Rfam says of the family: Transfer RNA (tRNA) molecules are approximately 80 nucleotides in length. Their secondary structure includes four short double-helical elements and three loops (D, anti-codon, and T loops). The record is from RNAcentral. Lineage: Archaea; Methanobacteriati; Methanobacteriota.